CAUUCCUGUGAUUUCUAGUUAUACUUCCUGCAGUGGAUUCCAUGACAUUUCCCCUUGUUAUAUAAUAUACCCCAUUUUUUGGGUUAAAUUUCUCUAUUAGUCAACAUUCAAUCAAUUCUAUGUGACAGAAGCUCAAAUCAAAUUAGCUUAAACAAGAAAAGGGGGAUUUCUGGGCUUACAUCAUUGGAAAACUCAAGGACUGAAUCCAGAUGAAAUUGAGGUUCAGAGAGGUUAGGUAACUCUCCUGUGAUCACACAGCUGAUACUUCUCCCAGAGCUAGGCCAUCUGGAAGAAGGACUCUUGAAUUGAACUACUGCACCAUUUUGCCUCUUAAGGAAGAGAGAUGUAAAAAGGCAGAUGAAGAAAAGAGCCAGGACGAGGCUGGAGAACUGCGGGAGCUGAAAGCAGAUGAUUCUGAGGCCCUAGGGGAGGGUGCAGCCACGAGAAGGAGGGAGGCUGGAUCCCUGAAUCACCAUGUGGAAGGUCCAGCCACCAGCCAGGAACACCCGCCACGUGAACAAGAAGGAAACUCCACUGUGUCACUGAGACUGGGGGCGUGUUACAGCAGCUGGGGCUCACUAACGGCAUCGGAAAAUGGGUGCUGAACCAAGUCGGUCUACGAGCCUGGACACAGCAUUGCCCUGUCCUAGUCCUCAGAUUCUUUGGCUAUGUGACAUGGGAAGCUCCGAGAGACCCUUCCUUCUGGGGGAAAGGAACAUUUUAGCUGUACACACACGCGCACUCACGCAUAAACGCACGCUCCUGCACUGGGCGCUGUUUCUGUAAGAACAGGCCUGGAAUGCCUUUCUGGAUACUGUUUCUCCCAAGCACCCAAAUGAGGACAGCGUUCCGGAACUUGUUUCUAACAGACGUCAGUAUAACAAAAACACACGCUACAGACCAAUAAAAAUGUGAUGACCAACUCCAGUGAUAAAAUGUGUUUGUUUAUAUGUAUUUUUAUAGCUUCCUUGAUAAUAAAAGGAAUUGUGUUCGAA
RNAcentral lists this long non-coding RNA (995 nucleotides) under Equus caballus (horse). RNAcentral's name for it is "lncRNA (ENSECAG00000054043.1)". Lineage: Eukaryota; Metazoa; Chordata; Mammalia; Perissodactyla; Equidae. The record is from RNAcentral.